GAUGAACGCUGGCGGCGUGCCUAAUACAUGCAAGUCGAGCGAACAGACGAGGAGCUUGCUCCUUCGACGUUAGCGGCGGACGGGUGAGUAACACGUAGGUAACCUACCUAUAAGACUGGGAUAACUUCGGGAAACCGGAGCUAAUACCGGAUAAUAUUUCGAACCGCAUGGUUCGAUAGUGAAAGAUGGCUUUGCUAUCACUUAUAGAUGGACCUGCGCCGUGUUAGCUAGUUGGUAAGGUAACGGCUUACCAAGGCAACGAUACGUAGCCGACCUGAGAGGGUGAUCGGCCACACUGGAACUGAGACACGGUCCAGACUCCUACGGGAGGCAGCAGUAGGGAAUCUUCCGCAAUGGGCGAAAGCCUGACGGAGCAACGCCGCGUGAGUGAUGAAGGUCUUCGGAUCGUAAAACUCUGUUAUUAGGGAAGAACAAACGUGUAAGUAACUGUGCACGUCUUGACGGUACCUAAUCAGAAAGCCACGGCUAACUACGUG
This 497-nucleotide ribosomal RNA is filed under the name uncultured bacterium. RNAcentral describes it as "partial 16S ribosomal RNA". It matches the Rfam family "Bacterial small subunit ribosomal RNA", at positions 28 to 507 of the family's 1533-position model. The record is from RNAcentral.